CAAAAACUAAACAAAGAAAAGUCUGUGGAAUGAGAUGGAUGGCUUCCUGCCCUCCCCUCACUCAGACUCACCUGCAGCCACUGUCAGGCUUUUCUGGUUCUUUCCUGCCUCCUCUAUUCAGGGGCUAAGCAGGUGAGGAUACCCCCUCUGGUCACUGAUGUCUUUCUCUUUUUCUCUCCCUGCCCAUCUCCCAGACCUUUGGCUUCUGUGAUGAGGGUCAUCAUAGAUACAACGUCAGGGCCCAAAGGGACCUGAGGGACCUCCCAUGCCCCUCACGCCCAGCAUCACCUACUGGCUGUCUACUGUCUACUCAGUCUCUGCUGAGCAUCCGAUCCACAGAGGGGAGUCCCACAGGGGCCUUUCUGCUGCUGGAGGAGCCACUAACAGGAAAAGGCCUGGGCUCACAGGUUGCCCAGCUGGGGAAAGGACCAAGGAAGAUUUCAUGGCAUUACUGACUUUGAGGUUUAGGUGUAGAAGGAUAGACCAGGCAGGUAUUAGCCUGGCUGGGGCUGGUGCCCGGAUUUGCUGAUGUUUGGUGUGGUGGUUCUGAGGAGCGUUUCCUCAAGGAUGAAUAAAAGGCCCUGCAGGGAGCAACCAGUGGCAAACAGCACAGUUUGAGGUUAGAUCCAGUAGGGCUGAGCCCUGGUUCUGGUGCCUUCUAGCCCUGGUACCAGGGAGGAGCUAAUGGGCCUCUUUGUACCAGGUUCAUCUUUAAGAGGCCUGUGAGGAUGAAAGUCUCACACGGCCCCUGCCUGUUAAAUGGGACCACAGAUGUCUGUCCUGCAAUGGCCUGAGAUACUGUCUUGGAUUUGCCCAACUGUACCACCAUCUUGGUAAGAAUGUGGAGCGAGGCAGGGCGGGGUGGUGGCGCAUGCCUUUGAUCCCAGCACUCGGGAGGCAGAGCCAGGUGGAUCUCUGUGAGUUUGAGGCCAGCCUAGUCUACAGAGCAAGAUCCAGGACAGGCACCAAAACUACACAGAGAAACCCUGUCUUGAAAAAAAAAAAAAAAAAAAGAAUGUGGAGCACAAAGACUCCAGAUUGCAGAGUCCUCACUCACAGAAGCUAUUUAGCUCCUGAGCUUGGAGAGUGAGAAUCAGAUGCCACAGGACUGCAGAGAUGGCAUCCCAUAUGACAUCUCAUAGCCACCUGUAAAUCUACUUCCAGGGGACCCAACAUCCUCUUACAGCCUCCGUGGGCACCAGGCAUACAUGUAGCACAUGGAUACACAUGCAGGUCAAACACCUGCACCCAUAAAUAACCAACCAAUUUUAAAAAAUCAGACGCCAGCUUUUUGUUUAGCUAUGGUGCCCAAGGGUUGAACCCACACAUGCUAAGAGCAAUCCCUACCAUUGAGUCAUGCUCCAACCCCCAGGAGCCAAUUUGGUUACUGAAGCCAUCGCUACAGUUGAUGUGAGUCCUGAGGGUUGGACAGAGAGCAUCUCACAGAGCCUCUCUUAGGGUCUACUUGCAUCCCAAGCCAGAGCCCUUUCUCUAUUUAAAGAUUUAUUUAUUUGUUACGUAUACAGAAGAGGGCGCCAGAUCUCAUUGCAGAUGGUUGUGAGCCACCAUGUGGGUGCUGGGAAUUGAACUCAGGACCUCUGGAAGAGCAGUCGGCGCUCUUAACCUCUGAGCCAUCUCUCCACCCCCCUUUCUCUGUUUAAGUGAGAGUUCUGUAUUACACGUUUUCAGAGUAGAAACCUUAAGAUAGUCACAGAAAAUGGAGAGAAGAGCAGAGGCUCUCUGAACUCCACUGGGCCAUUUGAUGUCCCCCUUGGGGGAGGGCCCUGGUCUUUUCUGAAGAUUCUGGGCUGUCAUGGGGGUGGCAAGAGGGAAAGAAACUGUCUGGCAGGGGACCCUGCCAUUGACACAUGUCACCGUGCCCCCACUCUACCUGCGCCUGUGCUGGGCGUGGGACAAUGGGCUACUGGGAUGUGACAUCUGUCAAAGUUGUUCAUUCACCUUCAGUCACACACGUUACAAAGCAAGAGUGCUUUCCUAAAAUCUGUAGAACUGCACGGUGUUCUAGCUCUGUUGACAGAGCGCUUGCCUAGAGUGCAGGAGGCCCUGCACUUGGUCCCCUGCACGACACCAAGCGGGUGUGAUGGCAUGACCUGUAAUCACAGCACUCAGGAGGGGGAGGCUGGACGAUCCGAAAUUUAAGGUCAUCCUCUGCUACAUAUGACUUCAAAGCCAGCUAAGGACCACAUGGGACCCUGUCUCAAACAAAACCAAACCAUGAAAAUGACUUUCUUAUAAAACCGUCUCAGCUUAGUGUCUCUCCAUGCAAGCUUGCUACUGUAUGUGUUUAGAAAGUAUACAUACACGCCGGGCGGUGGUGGCGCACGCCUUUAAUCCCAGAACACGGGAGGCAGAGCCAGGCAGAUCUCUGUGAGUUCGAGGCCAGCCUGGUCUCCAAAGCGAGUUCCAGGAAAGGCGCAAAGGUACACAGAGAAACCCUGUCUCGAAAAACCAAAAAAAAAAAAAAAAGAAAGUAUACAUACUAUACAGUUAACCCUUUCAACCAUUUUGGGGUGUGCAGGUCAGUGGCAUUAAUUGCAUUCACACUGUGCAACUGUUACCACCUCCAUUUCCACAACUCUCUCACCUUUCUUCUUUCUUUCUUUCUUUCUUUCUUUUUUUUUUUUUUUUGUUCUUUGAGACAGGGUUUCUUCUGUGUAGCCCUGGCUGUCCUCAAACUCUCUCUGUAGACCAGGCUGGCUUCGAACUCACAGAGAUCCACCUGCCUCUGCCUCCAAGUGCUGGGAUGAAACUUACGUGCUCUCUUAUCUUUCUAAAUUGAAAAACUUUUUGUGGCUCUUAGGCACUAACUCUCCAAGUUCCCCUCCCCUCCCUGGUAACCACCCCUCUCCUUUCUGCCUCUCACCUUGCCCUCUCAGGUCCAUUAUUUAAGCCUAGUCUUUUUGUCUCUGGCUUCUUUCGCUUAGCGCAUGUCUUCAAGGGUCAUCUGUGUCAUACCACGUGCAUGAUGUGUGUAUGUGGACAUGACUGCCAUGGUGCUCAUGUGGAGGUUGGCAGACAAAUCUGUGAAACUGGUCCUCUCUUGCCUCCUUUCUCUGGGUCCCAGGGAUGGAAUUUAGGUCGUUAGGAAUGAAUAGCAGGUGAUCUCACCUGCUGACCCAUCGCCCUGCCUCUCUGCCUCCCUUUUAUGGUGAAUAAUACAAAGUCCAUCAUGGCACUGACAACAAUCUGUUUACCCAUGUGCUGUCUAUGGGCCCUGGGUUGAGCCAUCAUUUGGCUGUGUGAGUCAGGCUGCUAGGAAUAGGGGCAGCCUGGCAUGCAUAGGAAUCUCUGCUUUUGGAUUCUGUGCUCUUUUGUAGAGGGAUCAUUGAUAAGUUUCCACACCCGAAGACUCUGCCUGUGAGAACAACACUUCGGGAAACCUAGGGAGGAGAGGGAAGGGACCAGUGAAGUUAGGCACUUGGUGGCUAACUGAGGAUUCCCAAGCAGGCCAAGUGUGAGAGAGGUGAGCAGUGGUAUUUUAGAGUCUGGCUGAGGAGUCGAGGCACCUAGCAGGGUGUGACUGUGAGGGGGUCCAUCAAUCCGGUGUAAUAGCUCUGGCUUCUGCUGGAGGCAAGAAUCUAGACUGUAGAAGAGGGGGCCGUGCUCCACUCAGGAUUCGGCUCAGCUGCUGAUGUCCCCCUUAGCCAGGGAACAACAUAUUGAGUGAGGGUUUUCCCCAUAGCAGGUCAGUCUCCUGGAGUUCUUCAUGGUCCUUGUAGCCACCCAAGAGGACAUUGCCCAGGUAGCUUGCUCCUCCUUAUCCUUGACUGGAGGCUCAGCUGGGUUUCCUUGCUCAGAAGCUUUCCCAAGAGGGUCCCUCCAUGGUCACCCGUGUGCCUACUCACAUCACACUCACUGUGUGCUUACAGCAUGCAUAGUCCACAUACAUUUUCCUGGCCACGCCCAUCCAGAAACUCAACACUGUGCAUGCAUCUAAUUGUAGUACUGAGGCACAGAAACACAUAUGCACAUAAGCACACACCACAAACACAUACCCCAAAUCCACUGACAUGUACAUGUUCAAAUGCAAGUGUGCACACUAGUCACCUGCAUGUGUGCGUAUACAUUCACAGGCAUGAACACUCACAGAGGAGCACGCGGCCAUAUACAGUCAUAGCACACACACAGAGGAGGCGCAGGUGUAUAACCUCACACACAUGCAUGCAACCACAGGACACUCAGAUACACACCCUGUUCGUUCAUUCUCAUUUGCACACUCACACGUACUCCUUAGCUUUUUAAAAUGAUACUUACAAGCCUGAUGUGGUGGCACACACCUUUAAUCUUUGCAUUUGGGAGGCAAAGGCAGAUCUCUUUGAGUUCGAGGCCAGCCUGGUCUACAUAGUGAGUUCCAGGCCAGCCAGGACUUCAUGGAGAGACCCUGAGGCAAAAAUAAAAUAAAAAUAAACUACACUUAUGUAUUUAUUUAGUGUGUGUGUGUGUGUGUGUGUGUGUGUGUGUGUGUGUGUGUGUGUGUGUAGAUCAGGGGACAAUUUAGGGGUCCAGUCUCUCCUUCUACCAUGUGGGUCUCAGAGACCAAACUCAAUUAGUCAGGCUUGGAGGCAGGAGCCUUCAUCUGCUGAGCCAUCUCACCAGCUUCUCAUCUACGUACUCUUCAAAUUUUUUUUUAGAUUUAUUUGUCUUAUGUGUUUGAGUGUUUUGCCUGCGUGUACAUACAGCACCUGGACCUAGCGACUGCCACAUGCCUCGGCAACGGCGGGCUUGGCUCAUCCAGUGUCUGCUGCUCACUUCUUGAGGCAUUCCUGAUGGAUGCCUCACCAUCCCAGCGCGCACACAGAAUCUGGUCGUCUCCCAGAGCUGAGCCCUCUCUGGGGGCAGUUGGCGCCAGCUGGGCAGUUUCUCCCAUAGAAAACUCACUUCCCCAAGCUGGUGGAUGAGACCUCUGGGCUGCGGCCUGUCUUGUCUGUCCUCCACAGGAGGGACUCAGGCGUGGUCUACGGAUCCCACAGAAUCAGGGUCUGAGGUGGAUGUCACCAGAGUGACUGUCGGGGGCCACAGUGGUAUGCCCCUCCUCCUCCUCCUCUUAGUCUCAAGGCCUGGACCCCUCUUUUGGGAAAGACCUUUGCCAUAUCGGCUCCCCUGGAUUUGGAGCGCUUGGUUUGGGUCUGUCUCUGGGGCCUCUCCCGUUGGGACUCCUUUGUUACUAUUUGCUAACCUGCCUUCCUCAUAGGACUGUGAGCUCCCCAGAGACACACCUUGCCCUGUGUGCCUUUGGGAACCUAGUGAUGCUGGCAGGGCUCACAGAGAGCUGGUUCCAGGAGUACGCUGUGUGGAAUUCUGGUAUUUUCUCCCUUACCUGACUUGUUCAUUUCCUGAUCAAGGUGACCUUCCUGCUGCCCCUAGGGAGGAUUCCCACCAUGGGCCUCUUUCUCAACUUCUACCUCCCCUGGGCCUGCCAGCCUUCAGAUGUCUGAGGGAAACUCCAGGCUCAGGAGGAGACAUGGUAGGUGUGGCCUUGUCUACCUUCUGGCCCUGAGUGGGCAAAGCCUAAGCCAAGUGACCAGGCUCCUUUUUCUUCCAUGCCUGGGGCAGCAGGCUUGGUUAACCAUGGGGACCAUGAACCCCUUCCCUCAAGUGAGGAUAAAGCUGAUAGAAUAGUCCUAGAGAACUUUUCUGCCUCAGGUCAAUGUUCCUCCCUCCCGUAUGACCUGAAGGUAAUCUCGUAUCAAGUCUCUCAGCCUCAGUUUCCCUCUCUGUAAUACAGGGCUGGGUUGUCUCCCCUCACCCCAAGACCCUCUCCAGCUGUGCCCUUCUGUGACUGGAAGUCUGAGAGCAGAGGCAGGAAGGCCCCUCUUUCUCCACCUCCUCUCCCUGUCCCCCAGGGUCACCCCAAAGCUGCCCCUCCCCGGCUCCCUGGGACUUCCCUGCAGCUGCAGGCUGGGGAGACAAUCAGACGCUUUAGAGAAAUACAUUUUUGGGCUAAUUUGCCAUGCGUAAGUGUUUCUCUUACCCUUUAAAGGCAGAGAACAAAGAGACCUUUCUGUGCCCGGGCAGGCUGCUGGGAAGGGGACCGCAGCUGUACGGGCUGUCGACCCUCCCUCCCUCCAUCCCCGUAAGCAUCCCAGCACACAGCCCCCGUCCCCCCCAAGAGGGACAGCCUGGACUUUCCCAGCCUCCCCCAGUCGCCAGUUUGGCCCAGCCCCCUCCCACCAGCUGCCCCAGGCAGGAGGGAAAGUGUGCGUGGGUGGGUGGCGGCUGAGUGGGGAGGGGCACAAGGAGAGAAAGCCACUCUCCACGUGGUUGUGGUGACGGUGACGGUGGCGGCCAGGCUUCGUGAUGGUGCUGGCCUGCUGGUGUGUGUUGGUGUGUUCUCUGAGUUGUGCGGUGUGGUCACAUGCCGAUGGCUUCAGUCAUCAGGUGACUCACCAGCACCGAGGCAAUGUGGUGGUUGAUCAUUCAUUCAUUCAUUCAUUCAACUAGUCCGAGUUUCCCGUUAGUGUAGGUCUGUCUGUUGGUGGUAAUAGAAAAAAAACUAAUUGGGUUCCAGCGCUUCUAAGAGGCAGUGACAUCUUUGGGAGGAAGCAAUGUAAAACAGAAGCACAGAGCUGGAAGUGAGGCAUGACAUCCUGAGUGGGGCUGGGAGCUCCCGUGCACAGUGAUGAGGAAUGGGGUCAAGGUUAGCUCACUUGUCUCUGUGCUACCUAACUGGGUGGUGACUGUCUUGAGGCUGUGGGCUUCACAGUGACUGUCCCCAACCGUGAUGCACAGCACUCACUGGGCAUUUGUUCAGGCGGUCCUUCUGUCUAGAACCUGCUCCGUUCACGUCUCUGUUCUGUGGACUCCUCUGCUCUUGUACAGGGCCCUGUCACAGCUGUCUAGCCUCCUCCAGCAGGGCGUGGCCCCUCACCUGUCCUCCCUUGCUUCCCUGGUACACCCUGAAGCAUGUGUGCGUGCGUAGUGUGUCCACACAGAGCCACACACCCCCCUCUCCCUUUCUGUCUCAGUUCAUCUUCAUGAACCUCCCUCCCCUCAGACAAGGACUUUGGAUGCCACCCCCUCCAGCCUCAUAAGACCAGCUGCUAAUGUUUAUGGAACACUUACUGUAGGGCAGACACCUGUCAGCCCACUGCAUCACAGUGGCCGCUCUAUGGGGCUGCCGACUGCCUGCAACUGUGUUACCCAGAGGCCAGCUGGGCUAGAGGGCGGUUUGGAGCUGCCUAGAAUCAUCAGCUUUUUAGGAAGGAGGUGUCAGAGACCAGAUUCUGAACCAUUGUAUCUGCAUAAACCAGGAGCCUCCCAGAGCAGCCCCCACCCCCUGGAGCUCGUCUGCGUGACAUCCUGCCACGGGCUCUGUGUGUGCUCUGCCCUCCCCCGAGCCUGGACUCUCUGAUCCCCAGGCACAAGAGAGACAGGAGAAGAUGAAGGUAGAGAUGUGGAAGUGGACCACAUGAGGGCAGGCAGGUGCUGGAGAGCAGAACCAGAGCAGGUUCGUUUCCCUCCUGCUGUGGGGCACUGCUCUGGGUGAAGGGAGCCUUUGAUUUCACGACCCUUGAGUAGGGCUGGGGGUAUAGCUCAGUGAGUGCUUGCUCCGUGUGCUCACAACCCUGGGUUUGUCUCCAGAGCUAUCUAAACCAGGUGUGGUGACUCAUCCCUGCAACAAAAGUUCAAGGUCAUCCUCGACUACAUACGGAGUUUGAGGCCAGCCUGGGCCACAUGAGACAUAUCUUAAAAAAAAAAAAAACAUUACUAUAAGGGGCCGAUGACAUGGAUCAGUGGUGAUGACACUUGCUGCUAAACCUGACAACCUGAGUUCAGUUCCCAGGACACCCCGUGGCGGAACGAGAGAGCUGACUCCAAGUUGUCCUCUGACUUCCAUACAUGUAGCAAGGCACACAUGCAUGUACCAAGGCACACAUAUGCUCUUGCUUUUGUGCUCUCCUUGUCUCUCUCUCUUUGUAUGUGUGUCUCUCUCUCUCAUUUAUAAAAUCAGCAAUUCUUUAAAGGAGAAGAGAAGAAAGAAAGAAAAAAAACCCUUGAGAGAUCCCUGUGGUCCCCAGCAGACAGCAGAAGUGGGCAGCAUGCUGACAGCUGUGCAGAUUCCAGAUGCAGGGCGACUGUACCUGUGCGCAGGUGUGUUAGUGCGAAUGUGCAGUGCGGGGCUGCCUCUGCCCGUGCAUGGAUCAGAGGAUGGUGACCGCACAACGUGGAGGAGGCACACCUUCCCAUACACACGCACGCACGCACGCACACAUGCACGCACACCUGUGCACAUCAGACCUACUCCUCUGUAGCACGGAUGGAACAGCACGCUUCUACUCUCCCGGGAUUCAGGGGAGCAUCCAUUGUGACGGACAGGCCCACCGGAAUGGGGAUUCUGCUAAUCUGCCACCAGCCUGCAAGCACAGACCAUACCGUCCCAGCUUACUGAUGAGAACUUAAGGUGUUAUGUUUCUACCAGGGAGCUAGGGAGGCUGGACUUGGGGACAGUCUGUGUCUCUUCAGGAAGCACAAUCUGAGAAAAGAAAGUACCCUGAAAAACUGCUGGGAAGUAGAAGUAAAGGCAGCAGAGAGAGGAGCAUUGCCCACCAAGGGCUGGAGCUUAGGGACUGAUUAGGACAAAGAGAGGCCAGAUGGUGGUGGCGCGUGCCUUUAAUCUCAGCACUUGGGAGGCAGAGACAGCCGGAUCCACGAGUUCAAGGCCAGCCUGGUCUACAGAGUGAGUUCCAGGACAGGCACCAAAACUACACAGAGAAACCCUGUCUUGAAAAACAAACAAACAAACAGGAAGCUGGAGAGCUAGCUCAGUGAUUUAGAGCACUUACUGCUCUUGCAGAAGAUCUGGAUUCGCUUCCCAGCACCCACACCUCAACCCUCUGUAACUCCAGUUCCAGGGGAUUUGAUGCCCUCUUCUGGCCUCCACAGGCACCAGGUAUGCACAUGAUGCAUAGACAUAGAUGAACUCAUAUACAUUAGUAAACUAAGUAAAUACAUACAAUGUUUUAAAAAGAGGAGGAGCAGUGCCAGACAUCCUCACCGGCCCUUGGACAGGAGUGGAGUAGGCUGCUGUCUAAUUUACACAGAAAAGGGAAAGCUAGGCACGGAGGCCCAGGCUUGUAAUCCCAGAACUGGGCCGGCUAAGGCAGGAGAUUGCUCAGUUUAAACCAGCCUCGUUUUAAAACAAAAUGAAACAAAACAACUGAAAUCAAAGGAAGCCCUAGUUUGACCUCUUCAGUUCAGAGAAACCCAAAACAGAGAUAGGAGCUGAGGGAGAGAGGGAGGGUGAGAGCGGAGAUGAAGAGCGGCAAUGGAGGUCCACUCAGAAAGUAGCUCCUAAGCCUGCUGCGCACCAGGCUGAGGACUCAGCCUCACAAGCCCUGUCUCAGGGCGGCUGCAGCCUAGGAGGGGACAGUCAGAUGAGCACUACUUAGUGCCACGAGGGCAAGGGUCAGAGUGGGAACUUGAUAGACCAUGGGAAAGAACUCUCCAGGAGGUAGCAUCCGGCUUGGGUUUUGAAGGAUGUAGAGGAGUUGAGGAAGACCGACCAGGGAGUGGGGGAACUGGUUUCCAUAUCACACAGGCAGGAUGUGCUGGCUCCUGUGUUUGUAACAAUUGAAAUCAGAAGCCAGUCUGUGCUCCAGAGACUGGGUAGCAGGGGGCCAGUGGUAGACUUCUCUUGCUUCUCUGCUGAGGUAAGAGCUUGGAUUCAGUUCCCCAGCUCCCUCCUAGUUCCAGAGCCUCAGUCCAACCCCUUCAGCACCUCAGUGUCACCUCGGCAGCACCCCUCAGGUCUCCUAAACACCUCAGUGUCACCUCUUCUGUGUGACUUGGACCAAGGCAUGAAGGGGCUGUUCCACACCAACUCACGACAGUAGCGGCCUGCCUUGGGUUGGGCAGCGGUAAGUUUGGGCUUCUAUUAGUAGCCAGUGGGACACACUGAGGGAUUCUGAGCACAGCAACAAUGUCAUGAGUCCAAGACUCACCUAUGAGCUUGACAGAGUUAAGAAGCCUCUAGGGGAGCCAGGCGAAGGGCCCUGGGCAGUGAUUUGCUGGUAGGAGCUUAGUAACCAGCUCUGAGGGUGAUGGAGAACAGAGAGGUCGAUUCGGAUUUUCAGUGUUAAAAUCUCCCCUCAACCAGUGUCAAGUUACCAAGGGAAAACCACAGCUUAGAAGUGUGGGGUGAGUAGAGCAGUCGGCUCUCAGGAGCUGGUGUGAGCUGACUCCAGCUCGCUGCCUCUCCAGGGCUGUAGGGUGCAGUUUCUAAGUCGGUGGGUACCCAGCCCUCCUUCUGUCCUGGUUUAUCGCUUACUCCAGGGGGACAAGCAGAUGGUAGCCAGGGUGGGCAAGCCAUCUCUGGUCUGUCUGAGGCCCUGACCUACAUCUCAGCUUUAGCUCGGUGAGCGUGUGUUGUGACUCAGGCACACUUCACCCCACGCUCAGGGCUGUGUGAGACCACUGGAGGACCACAUACAGAAGGGGGCUAAGGGCAGCAUGGGCUGGGCUGCACAGGGAUAAAGGCAAGGCCUCUCCCACUCUACCCUUAGCUCAUUUGUGGGACAAAUCAAUCAGCUGUCACAGGGAGUGCGAAGUGAGGGAGGGGCUUGAACAGUCCCCAGGCAAGGGACUCCAGACCACCCAUGCCUCAGCCUACCUGUAAUGAGAUGUGUCUCUGGGCCUUGGCAUAUCUGGCAUUGCCCCCCUCCCUGUCUCUGGGAAAAGCCCUAGUCUAAAGGGCUUGGAUCCAACAUGGCCUCCAGUCUGCUCAAUCUUUCUCAGGCUCAUUUAUCAAUCAGGGACAAUACUUCAAUUUUUUAAAAGUAUAUUGUUGUUUUAUUUAGUGUAGUUGUUGUCAUAUAGAUUUUGUUUUUGUUUAAAUUUUGUAAAUAUUAUUUUUUAUUUAUUUACAUGUCUGUGGAGAGGGGCAUCCACAGAGGGUGUAUGACUCCCUGGAGCUGGAGUUAUGGGCAGCUGUGAGGUGCCCCACGUGGGUGCUGAAAACUGAACUCAGGGCCUCUGGAAAAGCAGGAAGCACUCUUCCCACUGAGCCGUCUCUCCAGCCCUUGUUUUAUUUUUAAGCCAUAUAUCUGAUAGAAGAGUCCACUAAAUUAGUAAAAAAAUUCGAAUGUACCACAACACAAAUUCCACAAAGGUUAACAUUUGACCUUGUCUGAUCUAUCUAUAUUUUCCUAUCAUUUUCUUUUCCAUUCUUCUCCGUGCUUCUGUAAGACAUGCACAAGCACACACACACUACACAUCAUGCACACACACUACACAUCAUGCACACACACACUACACAUCAUGCACACACACACAACACAUCAUGCACACACACCCUACACAUCAAGGACACGUGCUGAAAUAAAUCUUCAUUCCCCAUGAUUUGGCAUGUUUCAUUAAAGCAAGGUGCUCUUUUUAUCUAAUUACAAUGUAAUUAUCCAAUAUCAGAAAAUCAGCAUUGCUGCUGGAUAAUCCACAGACCUCAGUUUUAUUAGUCAUCAGUUAUCUCACUAACAUCCUUUAUAACGAUGCUGUUUGGACCUUGUAUGAUGGUUGCCAGGGUUAAAUGGAUGUCCUUGACACAGAAGAGCCCAUUCAGGACAGGGUUGACAAUAUGGCUCCUUGCUACCCUCCCUGUCUCCCCCAUUCUUUCCCGGGGUCCCCACCAUGUCUGUGGGCACUCCUAAGAUCCAGACAGGACUGUGGCCAUGCCCAUCUCCCCCUACAGACAUCAGACUCCUGAGGGUGGAGAGUGAGUGGCAUUCUCCUCUGGGUUCCACCAGCUUAGCACAAUCCUGACACCUGUGACUUUGAUAAGUCCCCGGCCUUGGCCCUCACGCCAACUCCAGGCCCUGGUCCCAGACCCUUCACAGGUUUCCUGGCUAGGUGGCUGUUCCUCCUCAUCUGGCUGCCGCUUCCUCAUGUAGGACGUGGGUAGCUUCUAGAGUUGCUUCUAGCCCCCAAAUGUCCACGUCUCAAACCUGUGUUACCACCCUGCCCCUAGACCAGGCCCCACCACUUCCUGGCACAUCAAUGGCCUCACUGUUCUUGAAUGAUCCAGGCAUGAAACUUUCGAAUUCAUCACCCUCAUGGCUGGUCAUCAGCCUCCGCCGUUUUUCCCUCAAGCCAUUGUUCAUGUCCACCAACCCCUUCCAAGGGCUCUGGUCCCCUCUUUCUUGGACUCUGUUCUGGUCUGAAGUUGGAAGCUUCUGUCCACUUUCUAAAUGGCCAACUCCAGCAGAGCACCAGGGGUCAUACUGGGGCCCACAGUUUCCUGGCAGGAAGUGACUUAACAUCCACGAGUGUUUCCACCCUCAACAACCUCUGAGCAAGGAGCCUUGCUGCACCCUGGAGGCUGGGGCCCAGGAGAGGCUGGGGACACUGGGAUUAAACCUGGAAGAGGAAGGAGCCCUAAGGGGUGUGUGCAGAGCACCACACUGAGCUUUGACCAUUCAAAAAUGCCCUUGCCUCCCAAGCUCAUUCUCACCCACCAUCAGCCAUCACCACUGCUCAUGCCCUCUGCUCACCUCCACUGGGCCCUGCCCUCGGUCAGACACGGGGUAAGGACCCAAUGAUGCCACACACUAACACCAUCCACACUGUGCACACACACAAGGGGCAGCAGGUGCCACCCUUCUGGGAUCUGGAGCUUGGCAGAGGACAGUGGAGCUGAGCCUUGAAGAAUGAGCAGGAUUCUCCCCGGAGCCAGACCCGGGCAGGGGAAGUGGUGUGCACGGAGUUAGGGACUUGGAAGCAUUUAGGGGUGCUCAAGCUGGGAGAGGUGAGGUGGCCAGACUGGGGGACAGUGAAGCAAGGCUGAGAAGGGCUUGUGGAUUAAGGGACUUCUGAUCAGAGAUGUGUGGCCUCGGGGACCCUUAUUGCCAUCCACAACUGCUGUCUUCUAAAUGGGGUCAGCUUCUCCGAUCUGGGAUCUGGGAAAGCAAGAGGGUACCGGCUGAGCCCUUGCCAUUUUGCACAGAGCCACAGAAGAAAGGGCUUUGGCCAGGGUGAUCAUCUGUCUUUGGGGAGAAGCCAGGCGGGCCAUUGCCCUGAGUCUAGAGGGUUGGGGCUGAGGAAGGAAGGGGUUCAAGCCUGGUGCCCCAAGUGCCUUUGAGGAGGACCGGUUGGGUGAUAGGCCUAGCUGCUGGGAAUCCUGGGAAAGAGCCACAGUGCCCACGGGGCCUCGCCAAAGCAAACCAAGCUCUGCCUCCCUGUGCUAGAGGGUGGGGGGUAGGGGGGUGUCUGGCCCCAGGGGAACGGGAGGAACCGGGUGGCGGAUUUGUGUUUCCACUUGAUUUCCUCGGUUGUUUUCCAAGCGUGGUAGCGGUAUCCUGAGGGGCGGGGUGGAGGCGGAGAAGCCACCGGAAGGCGCCAUAGCCCCACGGCUGCCUGCCCCCCAUGUGACUUGGCUGACGACAGUACUGCGUGGAAAGGCCUAGAGGCUUCCGUCCUGGGCUGCUGGACAAGUGGGUGGCGUUGACCGAGGCACUGGGCCCACACGGGCCGCGCCCCGCGUGAUCCGUUGUCUCCAAGCAGGCUGCCCCACUUGGGUCGACCCUUUGAUCCCCAGCCAUGCAGCCUGGGACAUUGCUCUGAGACUCAGUUUCUCCCUCUGGAAAAUGAGAAUGGUAAUAGUACUGGCUUCCCGGAGAGGCCGCGUCAGUGAAUCAGGAUAAAAACCACAGAUCCUCAUAUCUCAUAUCCCAGGGAAGCAGAGGCCACAGGCCGAAUGGGAGCGUUAACAAAAUUAAAACCACACUGAACUGUU
This is a long non-coding RNA of Peromyscus californicus insignis, 13744 nucleotides long. RefSeq lists it as uncharacterized. The transcript has 2 exons. The record is from RefSeq and is a predicted model, not a curated record. NCBI's taxonomy places the organism in Eukaryota, Metazoa, Chordata, Mammalia, Rodentia, Cricetidae.